UACGUAGGGGGCAAGCGUUGUCCGGAUUCAUUGGGCGUAAAGAGCUCGUAGGCGGCUUGGCAAGUCGGGUGUGAAAACUCCAGGCUCAACCUGGAGACGCCACCCGAUACUGCCAUGGCUAGAGUCCGGUAGGGGACCACGGAAUUCCUGGUGUAGCGGUGAAAUGCGCAGAUAUCAGGAGGAACACCGGUGGCGAAGGCGGUGGUCUGGGCCGGCACUGACGCUCAUGCACGAAAGCGUGGGGAGCAAACAGG
Molecule: ribosomal RNA, 254 nt
Filed under: uncultured bacterium
Lineage: Bacteria
Description: partial 16S ribosomal RNA
Rfam family: Bacterial small subunit ribosomal RNA
Source: RNAcentral